Molecule: long non-coding RNA, 1180 nt
Organism: Macadamia integrifolia
Lineage: Eukaryota; Viridiplantae; Streptophyta; Magnoliopsida; Proteales; Proteaceae
Exons: 2
Source: RefSeq, a predicted model, not a curated record
AGGGCUUCUGUACCUUCUGUACAAUCUCAAUUUUGAUCAGUUCUUACUUGAAUUCUGUCCCCACAUUGAGUAAACAAAAGGGAAAUCAAUGGAAGAUGAACUGGAUCAAAUCUUAGGAAUUAGAUCAGUGGAGACCAAUAUUGUUUGGCAGAACCAAUCUUAGUGUGUAUAUGGUUCAACUAUUAUUUUUUACCUUUUCUGCUUCUAUUUUACCUCUAUUUUCUUUAAUCUCUUGUGUAUCUUGCCCUUUAGAUCAUUGAAGCUUUUAUCUUGAUUUCCUUCUGCCAUGGGUGUUGUUAUUGGUGGGUGAGCCACACUGAAUUCAUAUCUCUGUAGUUUGCUCUUUCUUGGCUUUUUGAUAUUUUGCUAUCAUGUCAUGCCAUUUUUCAUUAUGCCAGUACCCAAUGUAUUCAAUCAAUCCCACCACCUAUACAUCACAAAAGAAAGGUAACAUUUUCCUUUACUUUUUUUCUCUUCGUUUUGCUCAUUCUAUCAAAUUUCUCUCUGGACAAGCUUUAAUUGAUGUAUGAAAUGCUCUGACAUGCAACUGUAGCUUAUAUGGUUUCUUUGACAUAACUAUGUAGAACAUGGGCAUCUACAGGCUUCAUUUAGUAGGAUUCACCAAUUUUAUUGUGGAAAUUAUCUGAAUUUUUGCUUUCGUAAUAUAGUUUCUCCUAUAUUAUUUUUUCUCAGGAGAUUUUUUGUAAGAAUGCACAACCUUCAAACUGGCAAUUUCUUCAUGACCUAUAUAAAGAAGAGUGCUCUGGAAAAUAUGUAAGUAGCAGUCAUACUAGUUCAACAUUUGAAGCCUUGUAUGGCCAUUUCCUCCCUGUAGCUCAAUUGUAAUUUGUCAAGUGUUUUCUAUAAGAGGAAUAGUAGGUUGUGAGGAUCGGAAGAAGCUCCACCCCCACUCCCAGCUUCUGAAACUAUAUGAUGAGGCUGUUUGGGCUAUGGUUGUUUAUUUAUUCAUUCAAGCAUUGAAGUUGUCACUUGUCUUGCCAUUGUGGUUGUUGAAACAGUUGCUAUGGCGAAUUGUUUGAGUUGACACCUUAUGAACUCCAAUGCACCUAAUAUUGGAUAUCUGUACAAAAGUAUUGGCACAGAUUUGGGUGAGUCCCAUGUAUGUGGUUCUUCAGUUUCCCUAUGUAUCAUUCAAUGGUUAUCCUCUUUUUUCUUCUAA